AGGACGAACGCUGGCGGCGUGCUUAACACAUGCAAGUCGAGCGGUAAGGCCUUUCGGGGUACACGAGCGGCGAACGGGUGAGUAACACGUGGGUGAUCUGCCCUGCACUUCGGGAUAAGCCUGGGAAACUGGGUCUAAUACCGGAUAUGACCUCCGAUCGCAGUGGUUGGUGGUGAAAGAUUUUAUCGGUAGCAGGAUCGGGCCCGCGGCCUAUCAGUCUUGUUGGUGGGUAAUGGACCUACCAAGGCGACGACGGGUAGCCGACCUGAGAGGUGACCGGCCACGACGUGGGACUGAGACACCGGCCCAGACCUCCGUACGGG
This 323-nucleotide ribosomal RNA is filed under the name uncultured soil bacterium. RNAcentral describes it as "bacterial SSU rRNA". It matches the Rfam family "Bacterial small subunit ribosomal RNA", at positions 26 to 345 of the family's 1533-position model. The record is from RNAcentral.